UUGUUAGCCUUGCUAUGGUAUAACUUAGUGGCAGACGGGUGAGUAAUGUAUAGGAAUCUACCUAGUAGUACGGAAUAAUUGUUGGAAACGACAACUAAUACCGUAUACGCCCUACGGGGGAAAAAUUUAUUGCUAUUAGAUGAGCCUAUAUUAGAUUAGCUAGUUGGUGGGGUAAUAGCCUACCAAGGUAAUGAUCUAUAGCUGAUCUGAGAGGAUGAUCAGCCACACUGGAACUGAGAUACGGUCCAGACUCCUACGGGAGGCAGCAGUGGGGAAUAUUGGACAAUGGGCGAAAGCCUGAUCCAGCCAUGCCGCAUGAGUGAAGAAGGCCUUUGGGUUGUAAAGCUCUUUUAGUGAGGAAGAUAAUGACGGUACUCACAGAAGAAGUCCUGGCUAACUCCGUGCCAGCAGCCGCGGUAAUACGGAGAGGGCUAGCGUUAUUCGGAAUUAUUGGGCGUAAAGGGCGCGUAGGCUGGUUAAUAAGUUAAAAGUGAAAUCCCGAGGCUUAACCUUGGAAUUGCUUUUAAAACUAUUAAUCUAGAGAUUGAAAGAGGAUAGGGGAAUUCCUGAUGUAGAGGUAAAAUUCGUAAAUAUUAGGAGGAACACCAGUGGCGAAGGCGUCUAUCUGGUUCAAAUCUGACGCUGAAGCGCGAAGGCGUGGGGAGCAAACAGGAUUAGAUACCCUGGUAGUCCACGCUGUAAACGAUGAAUGUUAAAUAUGGGGAGUUUACUUUCUGUAUUACAGCUAACGCGUUAAACAUUCCGCCUGGGGACUACGGUCGCAAGAUUAAAACUCAAAGGAAUUGACGGGGACCCGCACAAGCGGUGGAGCAUGUGGUUUAAUUCGAUGCAAC
This 854-nucleotide ribosomal RNA is filed under the name Wolbachia pipientis. RNAcentral's name for it is "bacterial SSU rRNA". It matches the Rfam family "Bacterial small subunit ribosomal RNA", at positions 68 to 960 of the family's 1533-position model. The record is from RNAcentral. Lineage: Bacteria; Pseudomonadati; Pseudomonadota; Alphaproteobacteria; Rickettsiales; Anaplasmataceae.